CCACCGCGUUCUUCCUGGGGAGACAGUGAGAAACUGAGUGUGUUUCUCUUUUUAUUUAAAAGGAAGUGUUAAACAUAUCCUUGAGGAGCAGUCAACAGUUUCUUUCAGUGGCAAGUCCCCAGGUGCUAAGCUGCUGAUGUCCAUUGUAUUCUGGACAGCCUAUUAAUCUGAAGAGUGGGAUGGAACCAUAGAACCAUUGUUACUACAAAGCCAGGAGGUUUCUGGUAAGCACACUAUGAAGAAUAUAAAGAGAUAUUCAGAUACACUGCUGCAUAAGGAAAGAUAAUGUGCCUGGAUCUGCCAUUAAAAAUGGAGUUCUAAAAUGAGGUAGAAUAAUUACAUAUAAAUAUUUAUUUCCUUUUCUUCUAUUUACUUGUGCAUGAAAAAGAAAUGGCACAUGCUAAAAACCAAAGGAGCUGUUGUCUGAUCACUCGAUCAAUAAGUCACAAUAUGAAACAAACAAAACCCCUCAAGGAGAACAACUCUGCUUUCAGUUGGGACUGGGACUGAAGGAAGGAAGAAAUGAAGAAAGCAAGUAGAUCAUACACAGGCUUUGCAUUUGGUGGCCACUGGGCAUGUGAUGCCAUUACCCAGGUUGCCCAAAAGGUCCUGAGUGCCCAGUGACUGAGAUGUUCCAGCUGCUACUGGCUAGUGGAAAGGAAUUGUCCCCUAGGAAGAAGCAAUUUCCAAAGCUAGGAAAUGCUGCUGACCAUGCUGGGAGCACACAGGGGCAACCUGCAGCAAGCUCUGUCACCUGGGCAAGGGGACAUGCACACGCCAAGGUCUCUCUGUGCCCCCAACUUACCGUGGAGUCUGCCCCAUCCAGCACAUUUUGUAUCAGUCUUUUC
This is a long non-coding RNA of Pezoporus occidentalis (night parrot), 848 nucleotides long. RefSeq lists it as uncharacterized. Lineage: Eukaryota; Metazoa; Chordata; Aves; Psittaciformes; Psittacidae. The transcript has 3 exons. The record is from RefSeq and is a predicted model, not a curated record.